This is a long non-coding RNA of Hydra vulgaris (swiftwater hydra), 240 nucleotides long. RefSeq lists it as uncharacterized. NCBI's taxonomy places the organism in Eukaryota, Metazoa, Cnidaria, Hydrozoa, Anthoathecata, Hydridae. The record is from RefSeq and is a predicted model, not a curated record.
UGCACAUUAUGCAGAAUUUAUUUGAUUGUUGUUACAUAUUCACCUACUGCUGUCAAAUUUAAGGUGUUUUGUUUAUUUGAUUAACAGUUUUCUUGUUAAUUUUAGUCCAAUCAACUCAGCCUUCUACUGUUCCAUCUACACCUGAUACAGUCGUUUCAUCAACAUCUGCCACAGUUGGAAAGUUUAAGAGCUAUUUUUUUGUUCACUGUGUAUAGAUCCAAUGCCAAUUUCUAAUACUUU